AGCAGCCGCGGUAAUUCCAGCUCCAAUAGCGUAUAUUAAAGUUGCUGCAGUUAAAAAGCUCGUAGUUGAAUUUCGGGAUCAUCAUGUCGGUCGUGCCUCGGUACGUACUGGCAUUGUUGGUUUCUACCUUCUGACGAACCAUGAUGUCAUUUAUUUGGUGUCGUGGGAAAUCAGGACUGUUACUUUGAAAAAAUUAGAGUGUUUAAAGCAGGCUCACGCUUGAAUACAUUAGCAUGGAAUAAUGAAAUAGGACGUUUGAUUCUAUUUUGUUGGUUUCUAGGAUCGACGUAAUGAUUAAUAGGGAUAGUUGGGGGCAUUAGUAUUCAAUUGUCAGAGGUGAAAUUCUUGGAUUUAUUGAAGACUAACUACUGCGAAAGCAUUUGCCAAGGAUGUUUUCAUUAAUCAAGAACGAAAGUUAGGGGAUCGAAGACGAUCAGAUACCGUCGUAGUCUUAACCAUAAACUAUGCCGACUAGGGAUCGGAUGAUGUUAAUUUUUAAUGACUCAUUC
This 509-nucleotide ribosomal RNA is filed under the name uncultured Glomus. Its description in RNAcentral is "SSU rRNA". It matches the Rfam family "Eukaryotic small subunit ribosomal RNA", at positions 569 to 1081 of the family's 1831-position model. The record is from RNAcentral. Lineage: Eukaryota; Fungi; Glomeromycota; Glomeromycetes; Glomerales; Glomeraceae.